UACGGAGGGUGCAAGCGUUGUCCGGAAUCACUGGGCGUAAAGGGCGCGUAGGCGGCUCAUGAAGGCUGUGGUGAAAGUCCGGGGCUCAACCUCGGAUCGGCCGUGGCGACUCGUGGGCUGGAGCACUGUAGAGGCGGGUGGAAUUCCGGGUGUAGCGGUGGAAUGCGUAGAGAUCCGGAAGAACACCAGUGGCGAAGGCGGCCCGCUGGGCAGUAGCUGACGCUGAUGCGCGACAGCGUGGGGAGCAAACAGG
RNAcentral lists this ribosomal RNA (253 nucleotides) under uncultured bacterium. Its description in RNAcentral is "partial 16S ribosomal RNA". It matches the Rfam family "Bacterial small subunit ribosomal RNA", at positions 524 to 776 of the family's 1533-position model. The record is from RNAcentral.